Molecule: non-coding RNA, 4980 nt
Organism: Ictidomys tridecemlineatus (thirteen-lined ground squirrel)
Lineage: Eukaryota; Metazoa; Chordata; Mammalia; Rodentia; Sciuridae
Source: RefSeq, a predicted model, not a curated record
GCCCUGUUUUCUUACCCGGAUUCCAGGUCACACAGGCGUCUCUCUGCUGCAGAAAUGAAGGUCCGGACACAGUAGCCUAUUUCAGGGAGACAUUUUUAUUUAACACGUAUGCUUAGCCUGGAAAUAACUGGAGAAAAUGAGGAGUUUCUUAAGGGCUGCACUUUUGAGGACCAGGCACCUUGCCGUGAAUCUCCAUCAGACCAUGUUCCUGGGCGUGCUGUGGUGUGGGAGCACAGGGUCCUGCUGGAGGGACCCUGGGCCUUGCAGACAAGAAGUCCCCCUGCUGCCUGUGCCGAGGGGCCGAUGCCAAGGACAGGGCUGCUGGCUGAGCGGCAGAAUGUGGCGUGUUGGAGACGCUUAAGGAUCUCAAACACGAGGGAGCUUGCUGAAUGGAGAGGCCAUUCAUGUGAAAUAGAGGAUCAGAGAUGAGAACAGGAGCAGUAGGAAACCAGCCUGGCAGCCUUCGCUGUGCUAAAGAGCCCUAGAUUUGUGAUACUGCAGGUCACUGGAGCACCUUGAACACAAGACACCGGGUGUGUUUGCGGACCACCAACAGACCCAGCUCGUCCUGAGCCAGGCACGGAGGAGCCAUCUCUGAGAGCGCCCGCUGCUCCCUGCUCUAAUUGAAGCUGUACAUCACAUUCAGAGCCCGCCCCCGCCUUCCGGCAGCUCUCGGGCCCUUCUGGGUCCCUUUCUGCCCUACCCUUCCUCCACCAGGAAGGAGCUGCUCCUUCAUCAGAUGUCGUCCUGCAGGAGAGCGACACGGCCCUCUGCCGCGGGUCCCCUUGGAACAAGGUCACAAUCGUCAGAGACGUAUCUCCCCACUUCUUCAUCCCAGAUGCUCACAGCAGCCAGGAGGAAAGAAUAUUUAGGCUGUGUUCUGUCAACACAGGCUUCUCCCGUCAGGCAGAAGAGCAGGCAGGGGCUUGCGUUGCUGCCAGACAACUGGCCACACAAGAAAACCGUCCUCGAGGUUCCUCUGACAGCUUUAUUCCCGUGGCUCUGGCCGAAGAGUAGCAGAAGGAUUGCAGAGGCGCUGCGUGGAGCGUCACUCCCAGAUUCAGGAAAGUGUCCGCUGGCUGCAGGAUGAGCGAGAGGACGCAGGGAGGGGACGGGGCUCCAGUGACCUCAGUCACUCCCUGCCUCGUUUCUGUAGCCAGAUCCCGCUCCCUGUCUGCGCUGGGUCGGGGGCUCUGUUUCCUGGAAUAGGGAAGAGCCCCCACGCGCUGCCCGAAUGCUGGUGUGGAAGAAGCCGCUACCAGUCGCUGUGCAGCUGCUGCGGGCCCUGGUCCUGGAGAAGACCCGGGCAGGUGUGACUGGUUUACGUCAGGCCCUGCCUGUGGCACAUCUGUCUGGCCCACUCAUUAGCCAGCAGAGCUCCUCCUCUGGGCCUCCUGAUGGAUGCUUGUGACUCACGUGGAAUGCCCUGUCCACUCGGGUCCUUCCAACAACCGUGAAAGAACCCAAGUUUUUUGUUCUUUGAAGCAGCAAAAACAGAGUCGGGGAAGGACUUUCUGGAUGACAGACUGCUAGGUAGGCUACCGCAGCUCAUCCCUGUCAGCCAAACCCAGGGCCGGAGAUCCUCCCACGGGUGUUUGUGCAUAGAAAACUCUGCAGUGAAGCACACGGGGCAGAGCAACACAGGCCGCCCGCUGCGGGAUUCCUGGCAUGCACCACAGGUCUCCUGGGGUCCUGCCUCAGGGCCGCAGGACUGGUGCUGGGUCCCUGCAGGUGCCCAAUCCACAGACACCAGGGCCUGGCGAUGGCAUAGCACCCACAUGCACCCUCCCGCGUCACCUGCACCCUCCGCGUGCUCCAAGCAUCUCUAGGUUACUCAUAAUGCCCGACACAAUGUAUGUGAGGCAGAAAUAGUCAUUAAACUGUAUUUUUUUUAGGAAACAAUUACAAGAAAAAAAGUGUCUGCCAGCUUCAGUGCAGAUACAGUUGUUUUCACAAAUACUUUCCAUCUGUGGUGGGUUCAGUGCCAGACGUGAUGGGCUGACGCCAAGUGCUGCCGGUACCUCCUUUCCCACAGGCCUACCUCAUGGAUGUGCGCAUAGAACCAAGUUCCUGGACACUAAGACGCAGUCUCAGGCCGGGACUGGAGGGCCAGAGCAUCAGUUUAUCGAGCGGAUGGAAAUGACUGAACCCCCAGGAAAAUAUGGUUCCAAAUUAAUCAUUCUUGCCGUGCUCCAGAGGAACUCAGCCCUGAACUCACGGGAAGAACACCCGGAAUCUGACGGGGCCUUCAUUAAUUAAGAACAACAAAGCCCUCAGCUGUAUUAGGUGCCAAAGUCAUUUUCUGGCACUGACAAUUUAGUUAGUCUCCACCUUUCACACUAGAAUCAUUCUCCUACCGCUAGUAAACUGAUUAGUCCUCGUGAUCCACGCUGCACUUACUUCCCUGGACUCACCGCUCCAUCGGUCUUCACAUGUUGUUAGAAUGCUGCUGCUUUUCCUGGUUUUGGUUUCACGGUGUUUUAAUAAAGUGGUCAGCUGAGCCGCGACCACCGAGAAACACCCCAGAGCAUCCCUCCUCCCUCCGCUCACGGCCUGACCUUGAAGCACCAUAAGGAGAACUGACAUGGCUCCCUCCCGAUGGCUUCAGGACCCCCCAUCCCCCCUGCUUGACCCCAUGCCCAUUUCACAAGUCACCCCCUCCCAGCUCCAAGUAGCCAGAGACCUCGACGUCCACCUUUCCUUCUUCCUUUCAGAGUCUGGAAUAUUGGAUAUGGAAGAUGAAAAACUCCAAGGCAGCGAGGAGAAAGAAAUAGGAAGACCUUCUCCUAGAGGUGCAGCGCUGAACAAAGGCUGCAGUGCCUGCGGGGUUGGUGUCUGGCCUGGUCUCUGUUCUAACACCCGUUUUACUGCCGUCUCACCCGAAACCAGAGAGGUCUAGCCGGCCUGCUCCGCGUGGGAACUGCCUGUGGGAACUCAGCGGCCUUAGCAUGCACACAGGUGGUGCUCACAGCUCUGCUCACGGCAGCGAACGCGGACGUACCUUCCCACACGUCUCCUUCCUGUGUCAGGGAGGAGCCCAGAAGCAGACACCCCAGUAGCGAUGCGCUCAGGGUGCCUGGAUCCUGAAAGGCCAGGGAUCCCGGUAAGGGCUGAUUUAGAGUGGGAAAGGAAACAUAGAGGACCAACCUGGAGCAUGUCGUGGGGCCAGGAGGUGAGGAGUGCUCAAAACCUAAACAAAACCAGCUCCCACGGCGAUGGUGUGGUGUCCGAGGACAGCUGAAGAUCCGCGGUGGCCGAAGACUCAAGUCUGGGCAGAAAACAGCACUGCAUCGUGACCCAAAGUGUAGCAGGAACACCCUGGGGUCCACGCUGGCUGAUGAAACAGCCGAUAGACAGAUAAAUGGGGGAGGAGGACCCCCCUGUGCAGAACGCUGAGAAGCAUUCUUUCCUUCAGGGUGAGCGUGGCCACCGAGUUCUUCCCAGAUGGUGUUCACAGUGGGGACGGGAACAUCACAGUUGGAGAAGCCUGACAGGUAGCAACUCGGCCAGCCAGGUGGUCCAGCCAACAUCCAUGGAGAUGAGUCACUCCGAAGGCCUGUGCCACUGACGGUGACGGAAUGGCCCCUCAGGAAGCUGUGACUCCAUGGUCAUCAGGAACACCAAGCUCAAUGCAGGGACGUCCUGCCAAAGCCCUCCCCAGCUUCUACAUCAAGGUCAUCCAGAGGGACAUCCCAGAGCUGUGGCCACCUGGAGGAGCCUUGCAGGUGCACAGCUGUGGAAUGGGGGGUCCUGGACGGGGCACGGGCUCCAGAGGGACACCAAGGUGAUCUGAGUCAGGUACGGGAUCUAGUGAGCAGUGGUCUGUCAACACUGACUGGUCAGCCAUGAGCAGCGUGCCACCCAGGGUUUCCGCAGCUGCAUGACUGUGAUGGAUGCUGCAUGGACAUCGGCCAGGGCAGAUGGUGUGGAGCAUGCACGAAGUCUGUCCUCUCAGCCCACCUUGCAAACCUCCAAGCAUUCUCCAUGACAAAGUGCAUUUCAGAAACAGAGGUCGGCUCCAACACUUUGGGUCACCUCCCUGUUGCCAUUUCUGGCCGUCUAGCAGGGCUGUGCGGACUUCAGAGGCUUUUGUCUUACAUCGACAUCCUGUGUUUAUUAAAUCACUGCAAGGGCCUGAGGGUGGGUGAUUUUAAACUUACAUUUCUUUUAUAAAAUGGAAAUGGAUCUACUUCAGCAAUGAGCAUUUCUUCUGUAAAGUUAGAAUGGAUUUGCUUAAGCAAAAGGGAAGCCCGUUAACGUCCCCCGUGACUCCAAGGUGUCUAAAAGACCACUGCUGGUGUUUUCAGGCUCUUUAGAUAUUCUUGCUUUUCUGCUGCGACUCUGGAAUCACAUGUUACCUGCUAUUUGGAAGCCUGGUUUUACUCAUGGUCUACUAUAAACUUUUUUCCGUUCCAUAAAUAACCCUGAAGCACAAAGCGGGAGUCCUGUUGGAUGACGUCUAACUGCUCAGUUUGUGCAAGCACCCAGGGGAGGAGGGAAGGAGGCAGAGUGGGCUCCCUGUGGGCGACGGCUGGCACUGGAGAACUGCCAUCCAGGUGGGUUACAGGAAUUAACUGAGCAGGCCUAAAUGAUCCCACAUCACCCCUUGCUCAGCCUGGUGAGGAACGGGUGCAUGAGUGGGUCAGCCCUUUGAGAAAGGUGCUGGAGGAUCAGGCAGGUCACUUCCUCUGGGUCCUAGGAGUGUCCAUGUCCCCCAGACACCAGCCUUUCUGAACUAGUGCAGCAGGCUGUGGCUCUCUUCUAUAGAGAAAAUCUCAGGGUCGCAGAGUGCAUUGAAAUCCCAGCUAACCGGGGGGUGGAGAGAGGUCUAAGAGCCCUUCCUGGGCCAGUGUCCACCACAGGGUGCUCAUUGCUGGGACACACCCAGAGGGCUUCCCCCUCGCUCUGCAAGGACCGCACGCACCUACUGCAGGCAAGGAUGUCUGUGGGAGGAGCUGCUGGUGCGGGAUUCUUAGGUCG